GGAUUAGAUACCCUGGUAGUCCACGCCGUAAACGAUGAGAACUAGGCGUUUGGGGGUUUCCCUGAGUGCCGUAGCUAACGCAUUAAGUUCUCCGCCUGGGGAGUACGGCCGCAAGGCUAAAACUCAAAGGAAUUGACGGGGGCCCGCACAAGCGGUGGAGCAUGUGGUUUAAUUCGAUGCAACGCGAAAAACCUUACCUACCCUUGAAAUCCCUGGAAUCUUCUAGAGAUAGAAGAGUGCCUUCGGGAACCAGGUGACAGGUGCUGCACGGCUGUCGUCAGCUCGUGCCG
This 290-nucleotide ribosomal RNA is filed under the name uncultured bacterium. RNAcentral describes it as "partial 16S ribosomal RNA". It matches the Rfam family "Bacterial small subunit ribosomal RNA", at positions 775 to 1067 of the family's 1533-position model. The record is from RNAcentral.